AUCGAAGCUCGUAACCGCCUGCGGGCGUGACGGGCAGUUGGUAUCCUCCUUCUGAGGGGUGUAUGGCGCAGCUUGGGCCGGCCCUUACGGGUCGCGAAUCCCCAGUGUUGCGGCGGACCGCCCCUUGGGCAACUCAGUGGGGGCAAUUGGAUGGCCCGUGGGUAUCUUUGGCGGCUUCGUCCCUGGAGGUGGCUCGGGCUAGGCGUUGGGCUUCGGUCCACGUCUCGACCUAUCUAACUCUGAGACCUCUUAAUUGAGGGCUACCGGGUGGUUUUUCGUCUUUCGGGGCGGAGGGCCUCCCGGGAAAGAUAGUUACCUGGUUGAUUCUGCCANUAUUCAUAUGCUUGUCUCAA
RNAcentral lists this unclassified non-coding RNA (353 nucleotides) under Cladonia nana. RNAcentral describes it as "partial 28S-18S ribosomal RNA intergenic spacer". The record is from RNAcentral. Lineage: Eukaryota; Fungi; Ascomycota; Lecanoromycetes; Lecanorales; Cladoniaceae.